RNAcentral lists this ribosomal RNA (444 nucleotides) under uncultured bacterium. Its description in RNAcentral is "partial 16S ribosomal RNA". It matches the Rfam family "Bacterial small subunit ribosomal RNA", at positions 354 to 796 of the family's 1533-position model. The record is from RNAcentral.
GUAGGGAAUAUUGGGCAAUGGUCGGAAGACUGACCCAGCCAUGCCGCGUGCAGGAAGACGGCCCUCUGGGUUGUAAACUGCUUUUAUCUGGGAAGAAAAAGGCCAUGCGUGGCAAAUUGCCGGUACCAGAUGAAUAAGCACCGGCUAACUCCGUGCCAGCAGCCGCGGUAAUACGGAGGGUGCGAGCGUUGUCCGGAUUUAUUGGGUUUAAAGGGUGCGUAGGCGGCUGAUUAAGUCAGCGGUGAAAGACUUCGGCUUAACCGGAGCAGUGCCGUUGAUACUGGUUGGCUUGAGUGUCGGGGGGGUACAUGGAAUUGAUGGUGUAGCGGUGAAAUGCAUAGAUACCAUCAGGAACACCGAUAGCGAAGGCAUUGUACUGGCCGACAACUGACGCUGAUGCACGAAAGUGUGGGGAUCGAACAGGAUUAGAUACCCCAGUAGUCC